Oncorhynchus mykiss (rainbow trout) is the source of this 9232-nucleotide long non-coding RNA. NCBI's taxonomy places the organism in Eukaryota, Metazoa, Chordata, Actinopteri, Salmoniformes, Salmonidae. The record is from Ensembl.
AUCUUCACUUGGCAUCAUGAGCUCAUCUCCCACUAGAAUAGAACCUGCUGCUGACCCAUCCAGACCCUAUGGACAUUAGUUGGCUUACAUUGUUACCCAUCAUUCAUUUAUUGAUUUGUAAUGAUGCUAACAAAGGAUUUGUUAUCUUUGAGCCACAUCCUUUAAGGCAACAUAUUGAAGAAUCUUUUUCAGUGUAUAUUCAGAUUGGAUUUAUAUGUAGUAGCAUGGGUACGGACGGUCAGGGGCUUUUCUUGAAAACGUGAUCUGACUUGCAAAAAUGAUUUCCUAUAUAGGCUUUUAGCUUUAAUUAGGGCCUGGAGAUUUUCCUAGGCUGGUCAUUUGUUCAGGAAAAACUCUUAACCCAUUUCUGUGGAUCCUCUUUCACUGUGUAUAUAUACAAAUAAAGAGUUAUUUUAUUUAUUUAUUUUUCUCAAAAAGUAACUUCAAAAUGGAAGUCAUGCUGAUGAUCUAAACUAUGCUCCACACUCCGUCCUGUUGGUGGCAGUAUUGGAAUUAGAAUCAUAACAAGGUGGGACGAAAUCUUCAGAAGCAGGUACAGCAGAAAAAUAAAAUAGUCUUUGUCCUUUGCUAGCUAGAUCGUUGCUUUUGUACUAGCUAAUAUAUGCAUUUUUUAUGCAAUUGCGUGGAACUUGUUUAACGCCUCAAAAUCUAAAAUGACAUGGCGAACAUAAUGAGAUGGUACCCUCUUUAAGGCCUAAGACGAGCGCGGGUGAGGUUGCAGACGAGUGAACCUGAAGAGUCAUCCCAGCUCAGACACGCUGGAAGAUAACAUGCCAAAUGGAACCAGAGAGUUACAGUCUGGUGCUUCCUCUGCUAUGAGCUACAUUAUGGAUCCAUCUGCCAGAGACUGGAGCAAAGGCUCAUUGAGGGGUAGCAGUGCUCCCUUCUCCCCAGACACAGAUGGGGACGUUGAUGGAGACCCUGUGCAGCCCAGUGUGGACCUGGAACUCGCUCGUAAGAAGAAGGAGCUGGAGGUCAUACAGGAGAAGAUAGCUCGCAAGAAAGCUGUUCUUGCUACACGACAGCUUAAACACGGAGCUAAGGACAUGCCUAAAAAACAGACUGCAUCCACAACAGUGAAGGGCAUCGCUAAACAGACCAAGAUAAACAAUACAAUAUUCAAAACAUACAACCAGGUCACCGACAAGUCGUCACGCGUAUGCCUACCUCUUAAACGGAGGGUGCUGGACAUUCUACGUAAGUUCAGAAGAACACCGGUACGGCACCUACUUCGUAAGACGAAGAAACAAAACAAGAUGCGAGCAUUGGAGCUGAUGAUUAGCGCUCCCCUAGAAAAUGAAGAGGCCCAUCCUCUGAGACUGAGAGUGAAGGUUUUAAUGAACCAGCGACGCUCUCCCAACAAUGAGGUGGUCGCUAAUGAUAAACAACAUAAUCCAACCAUUCAGAGGCCAGUUCACUCACUCAGGACACAGGAGAAAGACAUAGCAGCCACAGGCUUCCAGCGCUUCCUCAAUGUCCUCAAUGAAGGUGUGGACCUCAACAAGCUCUCAAAGAUCGUCAACGACGAAAAUGAGCUACUCAUUGUGGGCGAGGAGCUACCACAAGUUUGGCCGACUCUGCUCGAGGGUCAUGUUGACUACAGCAGUAGGUCCAAGUCUUCUCCGUUUGAGGAGAAGAAGGUGAGGCUUGAGGAUGAGCAGCGGUACGAGCGGAUGCAGACCCUGCUGGAGAUCGUUGGGCUGGACUUGGGGGUUGAGGAGUUGGGUCGGCUGACAGACAGGACCAAUGAUAGGCUAUAUGGAAAGAUGGGAGACUUGAAAAGGGACAGAGCCAGAGAAGGGGAAAGUCCUGCGAGAGAGGGAUGCAGGCAAAGAUGCUCUAGUACCAGAGUCAGAGAAAGAGACAGAUCUGAGAGAAACCGAAAGGGAGACGGGCACAGACACUCCAGUACCAGAGAGAGCGACAAGGACAUACCGGUAGUCAGAGAAACAAACAGAUCAGAAAGGAACAGAGAUAAAGACGGGGACAGAGACCCAGAGAAGGACUGGGACGGAGGCCGAGAGAGAGACCGGGACAGAUCUAGGAGAGACGGGGGCAGAUACAGAUCUGAGAGAGAUGGGGACAGAGACCCAGAGAAAAGCAGAGACGGAGGCCGAGAGAAAGACCGGGACAAAAUGAGAGACCGGGACAGAUACAGAUCUGAGAGAGACAGAAAACGAGAGAUAGCCAAGGAUAUAGACAGGUGGCUGCAAAGGACCAGAGACGGAGACAAACGCUCUAGGACCAGAGACUGGGACAGAGAGAGAUCUGAGAGGGAUAGGUAUGGGGAUGAGUCCAGGGAACGCUCCAUUGAGCUCUACUCAUACUCCAUGGACCCUAUAUUCCCUGUUUCUCAUCCCCAUGCAUCUAUGAUGGCUACCUACUCCACCACCCAGUACUCUCAGUAUAUGGCAUACCACAGCAGCCCCUACACCAUGGCCUUCCCUCCAGGGUGCGGUUAUCCCGCUGGUACCAUGCCCCCUGGUAUUAUGCCCCCUGGUAUUAUGCCCCCUGGUAUUAUGCCCCCUGGUAUUAUGCCUCCUGGUACCAUGCUUCCUGGAAUCAUGCCAGCUGGUGCCAUGCUGCCUAGUAACAAGCCCCGCCAACCUAACCCCCCUGGGUAUCCACCCUACACCAACUUCCCCCCAUAUUACUCUAAUGGCACCACAGCCUUAAACCAGACAUACACAUACACCCAGCCUGCCAGCACUCGAGCAGUCUUAAGUCAGAGAUACACAUACAUCCAACCCACUAGAAACCGCAGGAAAAAGACACAGAAGCAUGCCAGAGGGAAAGUGUCCUGUCAGAUGAUGACAAAGAAGUCCCCCGCGGUUUUGACCACUCAGAUAGCGACAAAGAAGUACCCCCCUGAACCAGGGUCCAAGAUUAAAGCAAAGGGGAGAAACAAUAUAUUCUUCACAGGUAUAUUCAUGAAGAGUUAUCACAGUCAUCUAAGGAAGUUCCAGUAUUAUUUGAAACGGCUUGCGAAGAGGAGGAAUAAGGUUCACCAGCGCAAAAGAAAGCGAUUGCUUGCAGAAGCAGCAGGGAGAGUGGCCCCUCACUUCCCCUUUGAACCGGAGCCCAAGAAAGACGGGGAGAAACUACAUGCUGACACUUCUGAAGAAGUGGUUCCUCAGGAAGCUGCAAAGAAUGUGGAGGCACCAUCUGAAACAGGGCCUAAGAAAGAACCAGAAGGUGAGAAACUACAUGCUGACACUGCUGAAGAAGUGGUUCCUCAGGAAGCUGCAAAGAAUGUGGAGGCACCAUCUGAAACAGGGCCUAAGAAAGAACCAGAAGGUGAGAAACUACAUGCUGACACUGCUAAAGAAGUGGGCCCUCAGGAAGCUGCAAAGAAUGUGGAGGCACCAUCUGAAACAGGGCCUAAGAAAGAACCAGAAGGCGAGAAACAACAUGCUGAUGCUGCAGAGAAAGUGGCUCCUCAGGUGACUGCGAUGGACACUGUGGCCCCCUCUGAAAUGGGCCCCAAGAAAAAAAAGUUGUAUCCAGGUAUCUUCAUGAAGAUUCUAAUGAGACGUCUAAAGAGGCAACAGUGCAAGAUAAAAGGGAAGAAGAAGCAUUUUGCAAAGAGGAGGAAAAAGGCUUUCCAGUACAAGGGGAAGAGACCAUUGGUAGACACUAAGGAAAAAGUGCCUCUUCUAGAGGCUGCAAAGGACUCUGGGAACCCCUCUGAACCAUGGCCCAAGAAAAAGAAAAAAAAGAAAACACUAGAGGAAAAAGGAGGUAUAUACUACCCAGGGAUAUUCAUAAGGGUACACAGAACCUAUUUGACAAGGGGGAAACUGGCAAAAGCAGCUGCUGAAGGCACUGAGGCCAUUUCUGAACCAGCACCCAUGAUUGAAGGGGGGGGAGGAAUGACAGAAGGGGAGGAACUGCUUGCAGACACACUAGAGAAAGGGGUUCCUCAAGUGGCUACAAAUGACUCUGGGCUUCCCCCUGAACCAGGGCCCUACAAAGAACCAGAAAGAGAGGAAGAAACUAUGUUAGAAGAGGAGAAACUGCUUGCAGAUCAUGUGGCGAAAGUGUCUGUAAAGGGCCCUCAGGUCCUCUUGGAACCAAAGGCUGCGAAAGACAGAGAAGGAGAGGACGAUGCAAUUAUAGAUGGUGAGAAACUGCUAGCAGACCCUGUGGAGAAAGUGGCUAUAACAGGCCCUGGCUUGCUCUCUGAACCAGAGGCUGAGAAGGAGACAAGGGGAGAAACAACCAGUGGCAUGAGAAUUAAUGAAGGAAAAAUAAGCUUGAAGAGUUCAACCUGAAGAUGGGCACGCCUAACACAGCCUCAAAGGAUGGCUAGCUGUUAUCUUCACUUGGCAUCAUGAGCUCAUCGCACACUAGAAUAGAACCUGCUGCUGACCCAUCCAGACCCUAUGGACAUCAGUUGGCUUACAUUCUUACCUAUCAACCAUUUAAUAGAUUUGUAAUCACUAAAAAAAUAUUUGUUAAAGUUUAGCCUCAUCCUUAAAUGCUUUGUAUUGAAUUUAUUUUCAGUGUAACUUAUUGAUAUUGUGUGUGGGGUAUGGGUAGGGUCUAGCACAUUCAUAUAUGCUAAGUACCUUUAGCGCCGAUUGAUGAUAGUAUCUUCUGGCCGGGGGAGUUUAAUUAAGAGCCCCGACCCUUGCACUAAACAUUAACACGCAUCGCUUGCGGCCUGAUUUUGGAACAUAAGGAACUAUCUUUCAUAUCAGCGUUGGACAAAAAUGCACAUUUAUUGGGUUAGGGUUCCCACACGGCCAUAUUUCCAUGUUACAGUGCUUGUUUACGGAAAACGGACGGAAGACGGAGUCGACUACCUUUGCUAAUUACCGAUCUGCAUCUCCAAAACCCUGUGUGUAAACAGAAGAUGGACACCACAAACUCGUUGUCACUGAAAGAUACUGUCGGCUGCAACUGUUAAAACCGGUUUCAUAAACUGGGUGGUUUGAGGCAUGAAUUCGGAUUGGCUGAAAGCCAUGGUAUAUCAGACCAUAUACCAUGGGUAUGACUAAACAUUUAGUUUUACUGCUCUAAUUACAUUGGUAACCAGUUUAUAACAGCAAUAAGGCUCCUCUGGGGGUUUGAUGUAGGGCCAAUAUACCACGGCUAAGGGCUGUGUCCAGGCACUUCGUGUUGCGUCGUGCUUAAGAACAGUCCUUAGCCCUGGUAUAUUGGCCAUAUACCACAACUCCUCGGGCCUUAUUGCUUAAAUAACAGAGUAAGUGUACAUUUUGCAUAUGAAAGUAGAUGCCUUGAUGUUUCUAGAACCGUACUGCAAUUUAGAUGGGAGUAUUUGGCUGCCAGAGACAAUUUUCCUGUUCUAAACCAAAUAAGGGCCUGGAGUUUAUUUGGUCUGGUCAUGUGGUCAAGAAAAAUUCCUGGCCCUAGAUAUAGUACAUGUGUAUCAAUGGGAUGAAAAUACUAUUGACGGCAUUAUGUUUGUAAGUUAUCAUGCCUGAUAGCUAAAAGUAAGAACUGCCCAUGUUUCAUUCCCCAGUGCAGUCAGCCCUCCUAUUUCUAUAGAUCUUUCACUUUGUAAAUAUGUAAUUGAAUAAAAUAUUCGGUCUAUUGUAAGUGUGUAGUGUAUCAUAUUUCAAAUUAACUUCAACCCAUUGAGCUUCACAUUCCUUUUCAGGGACAACUUCCAUUGGUUUUGUAUUAGAUAAUUCCAUGCACUUUCGCAUUCUGCCCUAUUGGUGGCAGUAUUGGAUUUUUGAUCCUAUGAAGCUAUAAUUAACCUAGAAGCAGGGGCCUGGAAACGAGUUUGUUUGAUCAGUUGCCGUUCUAACAAAUGUAACUAUAUACAAUAGUAUUUUCUGACUGGUUGUGUGCAUGCAAGUUGUUUGAACCCUCAAGAUCCAGAAUGAGACGGCGAACACAUAAAGGCCUGCGCGAGGGUAGCAUUAGCGCAGAAGGGGCACACUGGAGGUAAACCACAAUUACAAGCAAUGCUUGCGCCUUUUAAGUGGCCACGUGACUAUUUCGAUUUGGCUAUUUUAGAUAUUUGUUGAUAUUCCCCUGCCUGUCAUGCUUACAUUUACACUAUUUAGCUAGCAAGCUAUAUGUGGGCCUGCACUGAAAAUUACAUCACUAACUAGCGCAUUUCAGCUGACAUUCAAAACAAUAUCUUACAAGCGGGUUAGCAUUAUAUAAGUCAAAUGCAACUACCUAUAUAUUGGAACUUGUUUGUUAGAAGCCUGUUAAUUAGUUGGAGUCCUUAUGUCUUGCCUUGAACAUGCAUAUCUGGGCAAAGAACAUCAAAUACACUGCUCAAAAAAAUAAAGGGAACACUUAAACAACACAAUGUAACUCCAAGUCAAUCACACUUCUGUGAAAUCAAACUGUCCACUUAGGAAGCAACACUGAUUCACAAAUUUCACAUGCUGUUGUGCAAAUGGAAUAGACAACAGGUGGAAAUUAUAGGCAAUUAGAAAGACACCCCCAAUAAAGGAGUGGUUCUGCAGGUGGUAACCACAGACCACUUCUCAGUUCCUAUGCUUCCUGGCUGAUGUUUUGGUCACUUUUGAAUGCUGGCGGUGCUUUCACUCUAGUGGUAGCAUGAGACGGAGUCUACAACCCACACAAGUGGCUCAGGUAGUGCAGCUCAUCCAGGAUGGAACAUCAAUGCGAGCUGUGGCAAGAAGGUUUGCUGUGUCUGUCAGCGUAGUGUCCAGAGCAUGGAGGCGCUACCAGGAGACGUGGAGGAGGCCGUAGGAGGGCAACAACCCAGCAGCAGGACCGCUACCUCCGCCUUUGUGCAAGGAGGAGCACUGCCAGAGCCCUGCAAAAUGACCUCCAGCAGGCCACAAAUGUGCAUGUGUCUGCUCAAACGGUCAGAAACAGACUCCAUGGUAUGAGGGCCCGACGUCCACAGGUGGGGGUUGUGCUUACAGCCCAACAGCGUGCAGGACGUUUGGCAUUUGCCAGAGAACACCAAGAUUGGCAAAUUCGCCACUGGCGCCCUGUGCUCUUCACAGAUGAAAGCAGGUUCACACUGAGCACAUGUGACAGUCUGGAGACGCCGUGGAGAACGUUCUGCUGCCUGCAACAUUCUCCAGCAUGACCGGUUUGGCGGUGGGUCAGUCAUGGUGUGGGGUGGCAUUUCUUUGGGGGGCUGCACAGCCCUCCAUGUGCUCGCCAGAGGUAGCCUGACUGCCAUUAGGUACCGAGAUGAGAUCAUCAGACCCCUUGUGAGACCAUAUGCUGGUGCGGUUGGCCCUGGGUUCCUCCUAAUGCAAGACAAUGCUAGACCUCAUGUGGCUGGAGUGUGUCAGCAGUUCCUGCAAGAGGAAGGCAUUGAUGCUAUAGACUGGCCCGCCCGUUCCCCAGACCUGAAUCCAAUUGAGCACAUCUGGGACAUCAUGUCUCGCUCCAUCCACCAACGCCACGUUGCACCACAGACUGUUGAGGAGUUGGCGGAUGCUUUAGUCCAGGUCUGGGAGGAGAUCCCUCAGGAGACCAUCCGCCACCUCAUUAGGAGCAUGCCCAGGCGUUGUAGGGAGGUCCUACAGGCACGUGGAGGCCACACACACUACUGCGCCUAAUUUUGACUUGUUUUAAGGACAUUACAUCAAAGUUGGAUCAGCCUGUAGUGUGGUUUUCCACUUCCACUAAUUUUGAGUGUGACUCCAAAUCCAGACCUCCAUGGGUUGAUACAUUUGAUUUCCAUUUAUAAUUUUUGUGUGAUUUUGUUGUCAGCACAUUCAACUAUGUAAAGAAAAAGUAUUUAAUAAGAAUAUUUAAUUCAUUCAGAUCUAGGAUGUGUUAUUUUAGUGUUCCCUUUAUUUUUUUGAGCAGUGUACAUCAUCAACGACAGACAUGUUUAUAUUCAUAACAUACUUAAUGUUAUAGUUGUCACCCAGACACACAGUACAGUUCACCACCUCUUUAUUCUCUGCAGUGAACCUGGAGUAUCAGCCCAGCUCAGGCACCUUGGCAGAAUGGAUCCAGAGACAUGCAGCCACCAGAGGGAGUAUGGAGAACCAGGGACAUGCAGUCACCAGAGGGAGUAUGGAGAACCAGAGACAUGCAGUCACCAGAGGGAGUAUGGAGAACCAGAGACAUGCAGUCACCAGAGGGAGUAUGGAGAACCAGAGACAUGCAGUCACCAGAGGGAGUAUGAAGAACCAGAGACAUGCAGUCACCAGAGGGAGUAUGGAGAACCAGAGACAUGCAGUCAGUGGAUGGAGUAUAGAGAACCAGAGACAUGCAGUCACCAGAGGGAGUAUGAAGAACCAGAGACAUGCAGUCACCAGAGGGAGUAUGGAGAACCAGAGACAUGCAGUCAGCGGAUGGAGUAUAGAGAACCAGAUACAUGCAGCCACCAGAGGGAGUAUAGAGAACCAGAGACAUGCAGUCAGCGGAUGGAGUAUAGAGAACCAGAGACAUGCAGCCACCAGAGGGAGUAUAGAGAACCAGAGACAUGCAGGCACCAGAGGGAGUAUAGAGAACCAGAGACAUGUAGCCACCAGAGGGAGUAUCGAGAACCAGAGACAUGCAGCAGCCAGAGGGAGUAUGGAGAAGCAGAGACAUGCAGUCAGCGGAUGGAGUAUGGAGAACCAGAGACAUGCAGUUACCAGAGGGAGAAUGGAGAACCAGAGACAUGCAGUCAGCGGAUGGAGUAUGGAGAACUAGAGACAUGCAGUCACCAGAGGGAGAAUGGAGAACCAGAGACAUACAGUCACCAGAGGGAGAAUGGAGAACCAGAGACAUACAGUCACCAGAGGGAGAAUGGAGAACCAGAGACAUGCAGUCACCAGAGGGAGAAUGGAGAACCAGAGACAUGCAGUCACCAGAGGGAGAAUGGAGAACCAGAGACAUCCCAGAGAAGUUGGGGAGGAGUAUGGUGCUUCCGCUGCUAUGAGCCACAUCAUGAACCCAUCAUCCAGAGACUGGAGCAAAGGCUCAUUGAGGGGUAGCAGUGGUCCCUUCUCCCCAGACACAGAUGGGGACAUUGAUGGAGAUCCUGUGGAGCUCAGUGGGGAUUACCUGGAGCUCCUUCGUAAAAGGAUGGAGCUGGACAUCAUAGAGGAACAGAUUGCCAGCAAAAAAAGCUGCUCUUGCUAUGGAAACGUUUGGGCCUGAAUCAAAGGCCAUCCGUAAACAGAAGACGAAGGACAAGGAAAUGUUAACACUUUUUUCCAAUAAGGAUGUUACUCCUAAAGCUAGGGUGAAUAGCAUUUUGAGAAAGCAGGCAUGGACCAAUGGAUGUCGCUCAAAG